AUUGAACGCUGGCGGCAGGCCUAACACAUGCAAGUCGAGCGGAUGAAGGGAGCUUGCUCCUGGAUUCAGCGGCGGACGGGUGAGUAAUGCCUAGGAAUCUGCCUGGUAGUGGGGGAUAACGUCCGGAAACGGGCGUUAAUACCGCAUACGUCCUGAGGGAGAAAGUGGGGGAUCUUCGGACCUCACGCUAUCAGAUGAGCCUAGGUCGGAUUAGCUAGUUGGUGGGGUAAAGGCCUACCAAGGCGACGAUCCGUAACUGGUCUGAGGGGAUGAUCAGUCACACUGGAACUGAGACACGGUCCAGACUCCUACGGGAGGCAGCAGUGGGGAAUAUUGGACAAUGGGCGAAAGCCUGAUCCAGCCAUGCCGCGUGUGUGAAGAAGGUCUUCGGAUUGUAAAGCACUUUAAGUUGGGAGGAAGGGCAGUAAGUUAAUACCUUGCUGUUUUGACGUUACCAACAGAAUAAGCACCGGCUAACUUCGUG
This 484-nucleotide ribosomal RNA is filed under the name uncultured bacterium. RNAcentral describes it as "partial 16S ribosomal RNA". It matches the Rfam family "Bacterial small subunit ribosomal RNA", at positions 30 to 507 of the family's 1533-position model. The record is from RNAcentral.